CGGGGUGAGUAACGCGUGGGUAACCUGCCUCAUACAGGGGGAUAACGAUUGGAAACGAUUGCUAAUACCGCAUAAGCGCACAGUACCACAUGGUACAGUGUGAAAAACUCCGGUGGUAUGAGAUGGACCCGCGUCUGAUUAGCUAGUUGGUGAGGUAACGGCCCACCAAGGCAACGAUCAGUAGCCGACCUGAGAGGGUGACCGGCCACAUUGGGACUGAGACACGGCCCAG
RNAcentral lists this ribosomal RNA (232 nucleotides) under uncultured bacterium. Its description in RNAcentral is "partial 16S ribosomal RNA". It matches the Rfam family "Bacterial small subunit ribosomal RNA", at positions 104 to 334 of the family's 1533-position model. The record is from RNAcentral.